UCCCUGGUGGUCCAGUGGCUAAGACUCCACACUCCCAAUGCAGGGGGCCUGGGUUCAAUCCCUGGUCAGGGAA
Molecule: non-coding RNA, 73 nt
Organism: Bos taurus (domestic cattle)
Lineage: Eukaryota; Metazoa; Chordata; Mammalia; Artiodactyla; Bovidae
Source: Rfam